CUCCAAUGAUGAUACCGCCAUGCUAAUACUGAUGCACCAGGCAGAUAGAAAUAUCUGUUUGGGUGCAAGUGAGUUCAACUCACCUUCUCACGCUGAUGGUAUCAGUGUGUGCUGAGGAGA
Molecule: small nucleolar RNA, 120 nt
Organism: Notolabrus celidotus (New Zealand spotty)
Lineage: Eukaryota; Metazoa; Chordata; Actinopteri; Labriformes; Labridae
Source: RefSeq, a predicted model, not a curated record